Molecule: small nuclear RNA, 94 nt
Filed under: Glossina morsitans morsitans
Lineage: Eukaryota; Metazoa; Arthropoda; Insecta; Diptera; Glossinidae
Source: RNAcentral
GUUCUUGUUACAGCAGAACAUAUAUUAAAGCUGAAACGAUACAGACAAGAUUGACAAGAAUGACAAGCAAAAUCGUCAAGCCUUUCACAAUGUU